UACUGCAGACUGUAGAGUGUGUCAUUUUUGUUUUACUAUUGCCAUUGGCAUUUGCAAAUUUAACUUGAUUCCAAGGUGACGGAGCGUAUUGCGUGUAAGGAUUCAGAGUAUAGACCAUGGUUGAAUCUUUUUCGUUAUCAUAACACACAUAGUACAAUAUUAAAAUAUCGAAACUUCCAAGGAAUGCAAAGCUCCACUAGCGUUUUUAUCAUGCGUCCCUUCAGAAAUGUUAAGAAUAAAAAUUGGCGACUUUAUGUUCCAGAUUGUUGAGCCCAUGAACCCAUAGAUGAGUGGUACCAGUUUCUGCAGAGAUUCAAAUCUAAAUAUGUACACGCAUAAAAGAAGUUGUUGUGAAAACAUAAGACAUGUCGUGGUAACAAAUGAAUAUGUCAACAUAGGGAUAACUAAUCAUAUGUUAUGAUAACAAACUAUAGUGGAUAUAUAAUAUUUAUCGAUAAAGAAGUCAGAAUUUAGGGCCAGUUUUUCAAUCAAUGAUUUCGCUAAAACAGUGAUUUCAAAAUUGCCAACUUAAGAAAAUAAAUCACUAAUACUCUGAACUCGUAUAUUAAAAUUAUAAGAGUGUAUAUUCAAGUAGGUAUGUUUACGAAAAUAACAUCAAAAUAAGAAAAGGUUAAGAAACUUAAAAAUUAAUAAAUAAUUAUUGAAAAUUUUCUUUUUACACAAAAUUGAGACACGAAAAUAUGGCGGUGUAAAUUGCAUUAUUCCGUAAAGGAUAAACUUGGUUUCCCAACAAAUAUAUUGUUUAAUUGAAACAACUCAGCCUCUGCACAAUGCAAAAUGUAAAAUGCUGUCACAAGAUACAUGUCUGGACACCACAGAACUUUUCCCCUUGAACCCACCCAUAGGCACUGGCAUAGUACAAAGGAUUUGCUGCACUUUUACACCUUGCUCAGGUUGAUUUCAAUUGAAAUGGAAUUUUUUGUAUGAAUAUUUUUAGUAGUCUUGUUAUAAUCAUAUAUUUCUCUUAAGGAUAGGAACCUAAAGGGAGUAGGAAUUAUAUAUGUCCCUUAAGGAUAAGAGCCUUCAUCUAGGAAGAGCAAGAGAAGCAGAAUAGUUUGGUAGACUCGAGGCAGAAAUCGUGGACUUGACGAGAGAACGAAUUGACUACCAUAACUACUUCUGCAAGCCCUACACAAACAAACCAGUACUUAAGAAGAUAGGCCCAAAAUUAAAAGCACGAGAAAAAAUUCUACAGUUUAACAAUAAAUAUUAGUUAUUAUUGCAGUAUAUUGUUAUAUCCAGUCAUUCAUUACUGUACAGUGCUUUAAUACAUUAUUUGAUGAUUUAUUAUUUA
This is a long non-coding RNA of Cotesia glomerata, 1315 nucleotides long. RefSeq lists it as uncharacterized. The record is from RefSeq and is a predicted model, not a curated record. Lineage: Eukaryota; Metazoa; Arthropoda; Insecta; Hymenoptera; Braconidae. The transcript has 3 exons.